UACGUAGGGUGCAAGCGUUGUCCGGAAUUAUUGGUCGUAAAGAGCUCGUAGGCGGUCUGUCGCGUCGGAUGUGAAAAUCCAGGGCUCAACCCUGGACCUGCAUUCGAUACGGGCAGACUAGAGUUCGGUAGGGGAGACUGGAAUUCCUGGUGUAGCGGUGAAAUGCGCAGAUAUCAGGAGGAACACCGGUGGCGAAGGCGGGUCUCUGGGCCGAAACUGACGCUGAGGAGCGAAAGCGUGGGGAGCAAACAGG
Molecule: ribosomal RNA, 253 nt
Filed under: uncultured bacterium
Lineage: Bacteria
Description: partial 16S ribosomal RNA
Rfam family: Bacterial small subunit ribosomal RNA
Source: RNAcentral